RNAcentral lists this ribosomal RNA (1341 nucleotides) under uncultured bacterium. Its description in RNAcentral is "bacterial SSU rRNA". It matches the Rfam family "Bacterial small subunit ribosomal RNA", at positions 28 to 1381 of the family's 1533-position model. The record is from RNAcentral.
GACGAACGUUGGCGGCGUGCUUAACACAUGCAAGUCGAACGGUGAUGGAGAGUUUGCUCUCCGGAUCAGUGGCGAACGGGUGAGUAACACGUGAGUAACCUGCCACUGACUCUGGGAUAAGCGUUGGAAACGACGUCUAAUACCGGAUAUGACUUAUGGACGCAUGUUCUGUGGGUGGAAAGAUUUUUCGGUUGGGGAUGGACUCGCGGCCUAUCAGCUUGUUGGUGAGGUAAUGGCUCACCAAGGCGACGACGGGUAGCCGGCCUGAGAGGGUGACCGGCCACACUGGGACUGAGACACGGCCCAGACUCCUACGGGAGGCAGCAGUGGGGAAUAUUGCACAAUGGGCGCAAGCCUGAUGCAGCAACGCCGCGUGAGGGACAACGGCCUUCGGGUUGUAAACCUCUUUUGGCAGGGAAGAAGCGAAAGUGACAGUACCUGCAGAAAAAGCACCGGCUAACUACAUGCCAGCAGCCGCGGUAAUACGUAUGGUGCAAGCGUUGUCCGGAAUUAUUGGGCGUAAAAAGCUCGUAGGCGGUUUGUCGCGUCUGCUGUGAAAACGCGAGGCUCAACCUCGCGCCUGCAGUGGGUACGGGCAGACUAGAGUGCGGUAGGGGAGAUUGGAAUUCCUGGUGUAGCGGUGGAAUGCGCAGAUAUCAGGAGGAACACCGAUGGCGAAGGCAGAUCUCUGGGCCGUUACUGACGCUGAGGAGCGAAAGCGUGGGGAGCGAACAGGAUUAGAUACCCUGGUAGUCCACGCCGUAAACGUUGGGAACUAGAUGUGGGGUCCAUUCCACGGAUUCCGUGUCGCAGCUAACGCAUUAAGUUCCCCGCCUGGGGAGUACGGCCGCAAGGCUAAAACUCAAAGGAAUUGACGGGGGCCCGCACAAGCGGCGGAGCAUGCGGAUUAAUUCGAUGCAACGCGAAGAACCUUACCAAGGCUUGACAUGCACCUGAAAAGGCUGGAAACAGUCUCCUCGCAAGACAGGUGCACAGGUGGUGCAUGGUUGUCGUCAGCUCGUGUCGUGAGAUGUUGGGUUAAGUCCCGCAACGAGCGCAACCCUCGUUCUAUGUUGCCAGCGCGUUAUGGCGGGAACUCAUAGGAGACUGCCGGGGUCAACUCGGAGGGAGGUGGGGAUGACGUCAAAUCAUCAUGCCCCUUAUGUCUUGGGCUUCACGCAUGCUACAAUGGCCGGUACAAAGGGCUGCGAUACCGCAAGGUGGAGCGAAUCCCAAAAAGCCGGUCUCAGUUCGGAUUGAGGUCUGCAACUCGACCUCAUGAAGUCGGAGUCGCUAGUAAUCGCAGAUCAGCAACGCUGUGGUGAAUACGUUCCCGGGCCU